GGUUUGAUCCUGGCUCAGAUUGAACGCUGGCGGGAUGCUUUACACAUGCAAGUCGAACGGCAGCACGGACUUCGGUCUGGUGGCGAGUGGCGAACGGGUGAGUAAUGUAUCGGAACGUGCCCUAGUAGCGGGGGAUAACUACGCGAAAGCGUAGCUAAUACCGCAUACGCCCUUCGGGGGAAAGCGGGGGACCUUCGGGCCUCUCCUUACUAUUAGAGCUUGAAGCCGAUAUCGGAUUAGCUAGUUGGUGGGGUAACGGCUCACCAAGGCGACGAUCCGUAGCUGGUUUGAGAGGACGACCAGCCACACUGGGACUGAGACACGGCCCAGACUCCUACGGGGAGGCAGCAGUGGGAAUUUUGGACAAUGGGGGAAACCCUGAUCCAGCCAUCCCGCGUGUGCGAUGAAGGCCUUCGGGUUGUAAAGCACUUUUGGCGGGAAAGAAACGGCACGGGAUAAUGCCCCCGUGCAACUGACAGCUUAUACCGCAGGGCAAAACUGCCUUUAACUACGUGCCAACAGCCGCGGUAAUACGUAAGUGCAAGCGUUAAUCGGAAUUACUGGGCGUAAAGCGUGCGCCAGGCGGUUCGGAAAGAAGAUGUGAAAUCCCAGAGCUUAACUUUGGAACUGCAUUUUUAACUACCGAGCUAGAGUGUCAGAGGGAGGUGGAAUUCCGCGUGUAGCAGUGAAAUGCGUAGAUAUGCGGAGGAACACCGAUGGCGAGAGCAGCCUCCUGGGAUAACACUGACGCUCAUGCACGAAAGCGUGGGAGCAAACAGGAUUAGAUACCUGGUAGUCCACGCCCUAAACGAUGUCAACUAGCUGUUGGGGCCUUCGGGCCUUGGUAGCGCAGCUAACGCGUGAAGUUGACCGCCUGGAGAUACGGUCGCAAGAUUAAAACUCAAAAGGAAUUGACGGGGACCCGCACAAGCGGUGGAUGAUGUGGAUUAAUUCGAUGCAACGCGAAAAACCUUACCUACUACUCGACAUGUCUGGAAUCCCGAAGAGAUUUGGGAGUGCUCGCAAGAGAACCGGAACACAGGUGCUGCAUGGCUGUCGUCAGCUCGUGUCGUGAGAUGUUGGGUUAAGUCCACAACGAGCGCAACCCUUGUCAUUAGUUGCUACGAAAGGGCACUCUAAUGAGACUGCCGGUGACCGGAGGAAGGAAGGUGGGGAUGACGUCAAGUCCUCAUGGCCCUUAUGGGUAGGGCUUCACACGUCAUACAAUGGUCUGGGACAGAGGGUCGCCAACCCGCGAGGGCCAAUCCCAGAAACCCGAUCGUAGUCCGAAUCACGCAGUCUGCAACUUCGAGCUGCGUGAAGUCAGAAUCGCUAGUAAUCGCGGAUCAGCAUGUCGCGGUGAAUACGUUCCCGGGUCUUGUACACACCGCCCGUCACACCAUGGGAGUGGGUUACCAAGUAGUUAGCCUAACCGUAAGGAGGGCGAUUACCACGGUAGGAUUCAUGACUGGGGUAGAGUCGUAACAAGGUAG
This 1493-nucleotide ribosomal RNA is filed under the name uncultured Bordetella sp. Its description in RNAcentral is "partial 16S-23S ribosomal RNA intergenic spacer". It matches the Rfam family "Bacterial small subunit ribosomal RNA". The record is from RNAcentral. Lineage: Bacteria; Pseudomonadati; Pseudomonadota; Betaproteobacteria; Burkholderiales; Alcaligenaceae.